Molecule: small nuclear RNA, 192 nt
Organism: Bombina bombina (fire-bellied toad)
Lineage: Eukaryota; Metazoa; Chordata; Amphibia; Anura; Bombinatoridae
Product: U2 spliceosomal RNA
Exons: 1
Source: RefSeq, a predicted model, not a curated record
AUCGCUUCUAGGCCUUUUUGGCCAGGAUCAAGCGUAGUAUCUAUUCUUAUCAGUUUAAAAUCUGAUAUGUCCUCUAUCUGGAGACCUUAUAUUAGAUUAAUUUUUGGAACAGGGAGAUGGAGGAAGAGCUUGCUCUGUCUGCUUCACACAUUGGCUUGAUAUUACAGUUCCUCCAGGAGCGGUACACCCAUC